CGUAGGUGGCAAGCGUUGUCCGGAUUUAUUGGGUUUAAAGGGUGCGUAGGCGGUUUUCUAAGUCAGCAGUGAAAUACGGCAGCUCAACUGUCGAGGUGCUGUUGAUACUGGGGAACUUGAGUACUGAUGAGGUAGGCGGAAUGGACGGUGUAGCGGUGAAAUGCUUAGAGAUCGUCCAGAACACCGAUAGCGAAGGCAGCUUACUAAGGAGUAACUGACGCUGAGGCACGAAAGUGUGGGGAUCAAACAGGAUUAGAUACCCUGGUAGUCCACACUGUAAACGAUGAUUACUCGAUGUGUGCGAUACACAGCACGCGUCUUAGCAAAAGCGAUAAGUAAUCCACCUGGGGAGUACGCCGGCAACGGCG
RNAcentral lists this ribosomal RNA (368 nucleotides) under uncultured organism. Its description in RNAcentral is "bacterial SSU rRNA". It matches the Rfam family "Bacterial small subunit ribosomal RNA", at positions 526 to 896 of the family's 1533-position model. The record is from RNAcentral.